Molecule: unclassified non-coding RNA, 373 nt
Filed under: uncultured bacterium
Lineage: Bacteria
Description: contains 16S-23S intergenic spacer region
Source: RNAcentral
UCCCCGUUUUCCGGGGCAGUCCCUGUAGAGUUCCCGGCAUGACCCGCUGGCAACUACAGGCAAGGGUUGCGCUCGUUGCGGGACUUAACCCAACAUCUCACGACACGAGCUGACGACAGCCAUGCAGCACCUCUACCGAUGUCCCUUGCGGGAGGACCCCAUCUCUGGGGAUUUCAUCGGCGGUUCAAACCCAGGUAAGGUUCUUCGCGUAGCAUCGAAUUAAACCACAUGUUCCACCGCUUGUGCGGGUUCCCGUCAAUUCCUUUAAGUUUUAAUCUUGCGAUCGUACUACUCAGGCGGAGCGCUUAACGCGUUAGCUACGACAUCGAGGAAACCCCAACAUCUAGCGCUCAUCGUUUACUGCGUGGACUAC